GAUGAACGCUGGCGGCGUGCUUAACACAUGCAAGUCGAACGAAGCACUUUAUUUGAUUUCCUUCGGGACUGAUUAUUUUGUGACUGAGUGGCGGACGGGUGAGUAACGCGUGGGUAACCUGCCUUGAAAGGGGGGUAACUAAUGGAAAAGGGCGGCUACUACGGCAUAGGGGCCAACAGCGCAUGACGGCGGGUGGAAAAACCCGGUGGGAUUAAAAGGACCCGGGUUGGGUUUGGUAGUUGGGGGGGUAACGGCCCACCAAGGCGACGAUCCAUAGCCGACCUGGGAGGGUGACCGGCCACAUUGGGACUGAGACACGGCCCAAACUCCUACGGGAGGCAGCAGUGGGGAAUAUUGCACAAUGGGCGAAAGCCUGAUGCAGCGACGCCGCGUGAGCGAAGAAGUAUUUCGGUAUGUAAAGCUCUAUCAGCAGGGAAGAUAAUGACGGUACCUGACUAAGAAGCACCGGCUAAAUACGUG
Molecule: ribosomal RNA, 480 nt
Filed under: uncultured bacterium
Lineage: Bacteria
Description: partial 16S ribosomal RNA
Rfam family: Bacterial small subunit ribosomal RNA
Source: RNAcentral